This 450-nucleotide ribosomal RNA is filed under the name uncultured Glomus. RNAcentral's name for it is "SSU rRNA". It matches the Rfam family "Eukaryotic small subunit ribosomal RNA", at positions 569 to 1025 of the family's 1831-position model. The record is from RNAcentral. Lineage: Eukaryota; Fungi; Glomeromycota; Glomeromycetes; Glomerales; Glomeraceae.
AGCAGCCGCGGUAAUUCCAGCUCCAAUAGCGUAUAUUAAAGUUGUGGCAGUUAAAAAGCUCGUAGUUGAAUUUCGGGAUCAAGGGAUCGGUCAUGCCUCGGUAUGUACUGGUCUUAUUGGUUCUCACCUUCUAAGGAACCAUGAUGUCAUUCAUUUGAUGUUGUGGGGAAUUAGGACUGUUACCUUGAAAAAUUAGAGUGUUUAAAGCAGGCUUACGCUUGAAUACAUUAGCAUGGAAUAAUGAAAUAGGACAUCGGAUUCUAUUUUGUUGGUUUCUAGGAUCGAUGUAAUGAUUAAUAGGGAUAGUUGGGGGCAUUAGUAUUCAAUUGUCAGAGGUGAAAUUCUUGGAUUUAUUGAAGACUAACUACUGCGAAAGCAUUUGCCAAGGAUGUUUUCAUUAAUCAAGAACGAAAGUUAGGGGAUCGAAGACGAUCAGAUACCGUCGUAGUC